CCUACGGGAGGCAGCAGUGGGGAAUCUUGGACAAUGGGGGCAACCCUGAUCCAGCCAUGCCGCGUGAGUGAUGAAGGCCUUAGGGUCGUAAAGCUCUUUCGCCUGUGAAGAUAAUGACGGUAGCAGGUAAAGAAACCCCGGCUAACUCCGUGCCAGCAGCCGCGGUAAUACGGAGGGGGUUAGCGUUGUUCGGAAUUACUGGGCGUAAAGCGCACGUAGGCGGAUCGGAAAGUUGGGGGUGAAAUCCCGGGGCUCAACCCCGGAACUGCCUCCAAAACUAUCGGUCUAGAGUUCGAGAGAGGUGAGUGGAAUUCCGAGUGUAGAGGUGAAAUUCGUAGAUAUUCGGAGGAACACCAGUGGCGAAGGCGGCCCACUGGCUCGAUACUGACGCUGAGGUGCGAAAGUGUGGGGAGCAAACAGGAUUAGAUACCCUGGUAGUCCACACCGUAAACGAUGAAUGCCAGUCGUCGGGUAGCAUGCUAUUCGGUGACACACCUAACGGAUUAAGCAUUCCGCCUGGGGAGUACGGUCGCAAGAUUAAAACUCAAAGGAAUUGACGGGG
This 562-nucleotide ribosomal RNA is filed under the name uncultured bacterium. RNAcentral describes it as "bacterial SSU rRNA". It matches the Rfam family "Bacterial small subunit ribosomal RNA", at positions 338 to 918 of the family's 1533-position model. The record is from RNAcentral.